Molecule: ribosomal RNA, 335 nt
Filed under: Escherichia coli
Lineage: Bacteria; Pseudomonadati; Pseudomonadota; Gammaproteobacteria; Enterobacterales; Enterobacteriaceae
Description: partial 23S ribosomal RNA
Rfam family: Bacterial large subunit ribosomal RNA
Source: RNAcentral
GGUUAAGCGACUAAGCGUACACGGUGGAUGCCCUGGCAGUCAGAGGCGAUGAAGGACGUGCUAAUCUGCGAUAAGCGUCGGUAAGGUGAUAUGAACCGUUAUAACCGGCGAUUUCCGAAUGGGGAAACCCAGUGUGUUUCGACACACUAUCAUUAACUGAAUCCAUAGGUUAAUGAGGCGAACCGGGGGAACUGAAACAUCUAAGUACCCCGAGGAAAAGAAAUCAACCGAGAUUCCCCCAGUAGCGGCGAGCGAACGGGGAGGAGCCCAGAGCCUGAAUCAGUGUGUGUGUUAGUGGAAGCGUCUGGAAAGGCGCGCGAUACAGGGUGACAGCC